CAGUAACAGGGGAAGCAGCAGUCGUGUGGUUUCACUCUGAGCUUAGUCAUGAGGAAAGAGCUGCUGUUUACACACUGUGGUUCUAGUGGAGGCGGAGCGUCCCGUAAACACACGUCACCAUAUUAACACCACGAGUCACCUGGAAACAAGACGGAGCGCAUUACUCUCACCGGAGGUCUUCAGAAACGUGACCCAGAGGCUGAACCAGGUCAACAACUAGCACUCAAACCAGAACCAUGACCUGCACCUGUUACAGCAUCUGGUUUGAGCUCCUGUCUCUUUAAAAAGCUCUCCUGAUAACGCCACGCCCACAGCAUGACAUGACCACAGCAUCACAUGACCAUAGCAUGACAUGACCACAGCAUAACAUGAAAUGUCACUUACUUAUUGCACUUUGUAGUUUGGUUUUCUUGAAGAAUUAGAACUUUCUGAUUCUUGUUGCUCUGGGUUUGUACCUCAUGGUUGAUGCACUUAUUGUGACUCACUUUAGAUAAAAGCUCAAUGAAACUUUCUUUUUUUUUAAACCAGCACCACAUAAAAAAGAAAAUGUCACAUAAUACAGAUCAUCUCUGAUUGGCCUCUAAGUUGCUAUGACAACCAUGUCAAUCAGAAGUUUACUGAAAUAAAACAAACGAUCAAUCACAGAAAUCCCUGACAUUCCCUUAAAGUAAGGAAUAAACCAAACAGGUGUGUGGUCAUUAUGUGUCACUUCCUGUGUGGGAGGAGUCAUAAUGCAGCGGUGCUGUACUCACAGUGGACUGUGAGUUUGAAGGCCGGGCUUUUCUCUUUCUCCAGAUUGUUGGCAGCAGUGCAGAAGAUUGGACCAAUCAGAUCCGACCUGAGAACAGGUUUGAUGGUCAGUGUGCUGGUCAUCUCCUCCUGUGACAUCAUCAAUGAGUCGUUUUCCAUCAUCGACGAUGGGGGCGGAGCCAUUGGUCCAGGUAAACUUGAGUAAGGAGCCCUGAGCCGAGCACGUGAGGACGACGGUGCUUUUGUUUUCCACGGCCUCUGGCAAGUUUGAC
This is a long non-coding RNA of Platichthys flesus (European flounder), 1022 nucleotides long. RefSeq lists it as uncharacterized. NCBI's taxonomy places the organism in Eukaryota, Metazoa, Chordata, Actinopteri, Pleuronectiformes, Pleuronectidae. The record is from RefSeq and is a predicted model, not a curated record. The transcript has 3 exons.